CAGCAGCCGCGGUAACACGAAGGGUGCAAGCGUUACUCGGAAUUACUGGGCGUAAAGCGUGCGUAGGUGGUGGUUUAAGUCCGUUGUGAAAGCCCUGGGCUCAACCUGGGAAUUGCAGUGGAUACUGGGUCACUAGAGUGUGGUAGAGGAUAGUGGAAUUUCCGGUGUAGCAGUGAAAUGCGUAGAGAUCGGAAGGAACAUCUGUGGCGAAGGCGACUAUCUGGGCCAACACUGACACUGAGGCACGAAAGCGUGGGGAGCAAACAGGAUUAGAUACCCGAGUAGUCCCUGUCUCUUAUAA
This 301-nucleotide ribosomal RNA is filed under the name uncultured bacterium. RNAcentral's name for it is "partial 16S ribosomal RNA". It matches the Rfam family "Bacterial small subunit ribosomal RNA", at positions 509 to 809 of the family's 1533-position model. The record is from RNAcentral.